RNAcentral lists this ribosomal RNA (253 nucleotides) under uncultured bacterium. RNAcentral describes it as "partial 16S ribosomal RNA". It matches the Rfam family "Bacterial small subunit ribosomal RNA", at positions 524 to 776 of the family's 1533-position model. The record is from RNAcentral.
UACGGGGGGGGCAAGCGUUGUUCGGAAUUACUGGGCGUAAAGGGUUCGUAGGCGGCCAACUAAGUCCGACGUGAAAUCCCCAGGCUUAACCUGGGAACUGCGUCGGAUACUGGAUGGCUUGAAUUCGGGAGAGGGAUGCAGAAUUCCAGGUGUAGCGGUGAAAUGCGUAGAUAUCUGGAGGAAUACCGGUGGCGAAGGCGGCAUCCUGGACCGACAUUGACGCUGAGGAGCGAAAGCUAGGGGAGCAAACGGG